CCGGAAUAGCUCAUUUGGUAGAGCA
RNAcentral lists this transfer RNA (25 nucleotides) under Orthotrichum scanicum. RNAcentral's name for it is "partial tRNA-Phe". The record is from RNAcentral. Lineage: Eukaryota; Viridiplantae; Streptophyta; Bryopsida; Orthotrichales; Orthotrichaceae.